This 252-nucleotide ribosomal RNA is filed under the name uncultured bacterium. RNAcentral's name for it is "partial 16S ribosomal RNA". It matches the Rfam family "Bacterial small subunit ribosomal RNA", at positions 524 to 776 of the family's 1533-position model. The record is from RNAcentral.
UACGUAGGGUGCAAGCGUUAAUCGGAAUUACUGGGCGUAAAGCGUGCGCAGGCGGUUAUAUAAGACAGUUGUGAAAUCCCCGGGCUCAACCUGGGAACUGCAUCUGUGACUGUAUAGCUAGAGUACGGUAGGGAGGGUAUCGGAUCCGCGUGUAGCAAGUGAAUGCGUAGAUAUGCGGAGAACACCGAUGGCGAAGGCAAUCCCCUGGACCUGUACUGACGCUCAUGCACGAAAGCGUGGGGAGCAAACAGG